RNAcentral lists this ribosomal RNA (989 nucleotides) under uncultured bacterium. RNAcentral describes it as "bacterial SSU rRNA". It matches the Rfam family "Bacterial small subunit ribosomal RNA", at positions 8 to 992 of the family's 1533-position model. The record is from RNAcentral.
AGAGUUUGAUCAUGGCUCAGAUUGAACGCUGGCGGCACGCCUAACACAUGCAAGUCGAGCGGUAACAUGGUGUGUAGCAAUACACGCUGAUGACGAGCGGCGGACGGGUGAGUACUACGUAGGAACCUGCCCUUAAGCGGGGGACAACCAAGGGAAACUUUGGCUAAUACCGCAUAAACUCGGAAGAGAAAAGCUGCCCGCAAGGGUGGCACUUAAGGAGGGGCCUGCGUCCGAUUAGUUAGUUGGUGAGGUAAAGGCUCACCAAGACGAUGAUCGGUAACUGGUCUGAGAGGACGACCAGUCACACUGGGACUGAGACACGGCCCAGACUCCUACGGGAGGCAGCAGUGGGGAAUCUUGGACAAUGGGGGCAACCCUGAUCCAGCGAUGCCGCGUGAGUGAAGAAGGCCCUCGGGUCGUAAAGCUCUUUAGGUUGGGAAGAAGUGUGCGUGAUGAAUAAUCACGCAUGUUGACGGUACCGACAGAAUAAGCACCGGCAAACUCUGUGCCAGCAGCCGCGGUAAUACAGAGGGUGCGAGCGUUAAUCGGAUUUACUGGGCGUAAAGGGCGCGUAGGCGGUUAUGAAAGUAUGAUGUGAAAGCCCCGGGCUUAACCUGGGAAGAGCAUCGUAAACUAUGUGACUGGAGUAUAUGAGAGGGUGGUGGAAUUUCCGGUGUAGCGGUGAAAUGCGUAGAGAUCGGAAGGAACGUCAAUGGCGAAAGGCAGCCACCUGGCAUAAUACUGACGCUGAGGCGCGAAAGCGUGGGGAGCGAACAGGAUUAGAUACCCUGGUAGUCCACGCUGUAAACGAUGAGGACUAAAGGUUGGUAGGGGAACCUAUCAGUCUUGAAGCAAACGCGAUAAGUCUUCCGCCUGGGAAGUACGGCCGCAGGUUGAAACUCAAUGAAUUGACGGGGCCCGCACAGCGGUGGAGCAUGUGGUUUAAUUCGAUGCAACGCGAAGAACCUUACCUACCCUUGACAUCCUGC